AAUUAUAGUUGUGCCAGGAAUUGUUUUGCAUAUCAAAAGAAAAAUUAUUCAAAAGAGAAAAUCAGAUAAUGACAUUGUAAUGGAAUGCAGUCCAGCUUAUGCUACAACUGAAUUUAAAACAAAAUCAACUGUUGAGCCAGUGUAUGAUGAAACUAAGUCAGAGCCUCCUACUUCUCUUCCACCCUCUACUGAAUAUGAAACAUAAUGUACUCAUCUUUUACGUACGCUAGAUCUAGUUAGUAAUGCAGAUUAUGUCAAU
Long non-coding RNA from Amphimedon queenslandica, 259 nucleotides. RefSeq lists it as uncharacterized. The record is from RefSeq and is a predicted model, not a curated record. NCBI's taxonomy places the organism in Eukaryota, Metazoa, Porifera, Demospongiae, Haplosclerida, Niphatidae. The transcript has 3 exons.